Molecule: small nuclear RNA, 182 nt
Organism: Acomys russatus (golden spiny mouse)
Lineage: Eukaryota; Metazoa; Chordata; Mammalia; Rodentia; Muridae
Product: U2 spliceosomal RNA
Exons: 1
Source: RefSeq, a predicted model, not a curated record
ACCACUUCUCGGCCUUUUGGCUAAGAUCAAGUGUAGUAUCUGUUCUUAUCAGUUUAAUAUCUGAUAGAUCCUCUAUCUGAGGACAAUAGAUUUUUGGACGUAGGAGUUGGAAUAGGAGCUUGCGUGGUCCACUGCACACAUCAACCUUGUAUUGCAGGACCUCCAGGAACAGUGCACCCCCU